UACGUAGGUGGCAAGCGUUGUCCGGAUUUACUGGGCGUAAAGGGCGUGCAGGCGGUUUGUUAAGUCUAGGGUGAAAGCUCCCGGCUCAACUGGGAGAGGUCCUUGGAUACUGGCGAACUUGAGGGAUGCAGAGGAAAGUGGAAUUCCCGGUGUAGUGGUGAUAUGCGCAGAUAUCGGGAGGAACACCAGUGGCGAAGGCGGCUUUCUGGGCAUUUCCUGACGCUGAGACGCGAAAGCGUGGGGAGCGAACCGG
Molecule: ribosomal RNA, 253 nt
Filed under: uncultured bacterium
Lineage: Bacteria
Description: partial 16S ribosomal RNA
Rfam family: Bacterial small subunit ribosomal RNA
Source: RNAcentral